Oncorhynchus keta (chum salmon) is the source of this 682-nucleotide long non-coding RNA. RefSeq lists it as uncharacterized. NCBI's taxonomy places the organism in Eukaryota, Metazoa, Chordata, Actinopteri, Salmoniformes, Salmonidae. The record is from RefSeq and is a predicted model, not a curated record. The transcript has 4 exons.
CUCUGACCUCUACCCUUGAACUCUACUCUCUGUCUCCGACCCUUUACCUGCCCUCUCUCGUCAGGACAGGUAUAAGCCAACUCUGGCUCUGCUAACAAACCACUUCCUUGACUGGCACUUAGGUCUACACACAUCACUUAGGUCUACACACAUCACUUAGGUCUACACACAUCACUUAGGGCUACACACAUCACUUAGGUCUACACACAUCACUUAGGGCUACACACAUCACUUAGGGCUACACACAUCACUUAGGGCUACACACAUCACUUAGGUCUACACACAUCACUUAGGUCUACACACAUCACUUAGGGCUACACACAUCACUUAGGUCGACACACAUCACUUAGGUCUACACACAUCACUUAGGUCUACACACAUCACUUAGGUCUACACACAUCACUUAGGUCUACACACAUCACUUAGGUGACUCAUAAAAGCUUUUUAAUUCCUUUACAAGAACAGAACACACACACACACACACACACACACACACACACAGACCCUCACCUCAGCCGCAGGAUGCUGAUUCAUACGUACAUAUUGUUUAUGAACUCAUUCAUUGUCAAUGCGGAAGGUGCAUAGAAUUUUCCAGAAUCAUUACCUCACAUGCCAUUUCCCCUUCCAUCUGAACAAGAGCUUUAAACAAAACCUACAUAUCAGACUCUUUGGAGUGGUUGCC